RNAcentral lists this unclassified non-coding RNA (1195 nucleotides) under Hevea brasiliensis (rubber tree). Lineage: Eukaryota; Viridiplantae; Streptophyta; Magnoliopsida; Malpighiales; Euphorbiaceae. The record is from RNAcentral.
CUACACACCGGCAAAGGGCGUGGGGAUGCAUGCAUUACUGUUGGAUAGGUUUAAGACUCCUGAUGCUGAGGAGUGGAGAAAAUCUGGUGCAGUUGUGCUUUCUGACUUGGUGUCUGUACAAGAAUUGCUCACCUUCGGGACAUUGACAUGCUGAGGGGCUUAUUUCUUCCCCAAAGCUGCUGUUAUGUGCAUUUUUUCCCCUUUUUGAUACCAGCAACUCAGGUAUUGUAAAUUUUCAUUUAUCAAAAGGGGAAAAAAUGCACAUAACAGCAGCUUUGGGGAAGAAAUAAGCCCCUCAGCAUGUCAAUGUCCCGAAGGUGAGCAAUUCUUGUACAGACACCAAGUCAGAAAGCACAACUGCACCAGAUUUUCUCCACUCCUCAGCAUCAGGAGUCUUAAACCUAUCCAACAGUAAUGCAUGCAUCCCCACGCCCUUUGCCGGUGUGUAGUCUUUCCGCAUGCUAUCCCCUAUGUGCAGAGCUUCUUCUGGUGCAAUGUUUCCAGCCCUCUCAAGUGCAAUUUCAUAAAUCCUUGGGUCUGGCUUCUCUACACCUUCAAGACCAGAGAAUACACCAAAGUCCCACUCUGACCCCUGAUCCAAACCCAAGGCUGGAAGUAUCACAUCCUGAUAUCGAUAUUCUGCAUUACUAACAAGCCCAACUAGAAGACCCUUUUCACGUGCCCAUCUUAGGAAUGGUUGGGAGUCUGGAAAGACACUAUAAGGUGCAGAUGAACCAAAUGAGGCAUAUAUGCGCCUGAAGAUUUUCUCAAAAGUCUCUUCAUCGUAAUCAUAUCCAGCCUUGAUAAAGGAAUUUCUCACACACAUCUUCCACCAGACAAUGUUAGGCAUUUUUGCUGCAUGCCCAAAACAUGGAUACUUUUUGGCCAUAUCUGUAUAUGCAAGUUUGAAGCCUUCAUGUACACGCUUGUAGUCAGGGCAUGGCAGUCCAACAGAUUUUGCUGCCAUGCAAUAGUAGUCACCAAGCUCACCUUUGUAAGCUAUGAGCGUACCGGUGACAUCCACAGUGAUGCAACGUAAUUUUGACAACAGAGACAUGACAUCAAUCAUGCAGCAGAUUUCAAAACCAGAAGCUGAAAUGAAAAGGAAUCAGGACUGGUUCGUUGACAUCGCCACUAUUUUGUCUUCUUCUCAAUACUUUGAAGGCAUUUUUUAGCGUCAACUGAACUAAAAGCU